Long non-coding RNA from Balaenoptera acutorostrata (minke whale), 293 nucleotides. RefSeq lists it as uncharacterized. NCBI's taxonomy places the organism in Eukaryota, Metazoa, Chordata, Mammalia, Artiodactyla, Balaenopteridae. The record is from RefSeq and is a predicted model, not a curated record. The transcript has 2 exons.
CUGUCUUCAUGGAGUGGUUCUCUUCAGCCCCUCUGUGGCUUAAGCUUUACCUGCUCCUGUCCAGCAAUGCCUGGGAAUGGAUAGCUCCUUCUUCACAGCUGAGCUUAGUGAAGCUUCAAACCUUAGUCCACAGGGAGGAUCCUGGGUGUUCUGGAUGCUCUGGAUGGAAUAGCCUCUUUCUCACUCCUGGUGGCAUUGAUAUCUCAUGUGACCAUUCCUCAGAAUAAGCGGUACUGUUUAUUAGGGUCUAUUAUGUUCUAAAACUUUAAAUAAAUUAUUUCAUUUUAUCUUCA